AUUGAACGCUGGCGGCAUGCCUUACACAUGCAAGUCGAACGGCAGCACGGGAGCAAUCCUGGUGGCGAGUGGCGAACGGGUGAGUAAUAUAUCGGAACGUGCCCAGUCGUGGGGGAUAACGUAGCGAAAGCUACGCUAAUACCGCAUACGAUCUAUGGAUGAAAGCGGGGGAUCGCAAGACCUCGCGCGAUUGGAGCGGCCGAUAUCAGAUUAGGUAGUUGGUGAGGUAAAGGCUCACCAAGCCGACGAUCUGUAGCUGGUCUGAGAGGACGACCAGCCACACUGGGACUGAGACACGGCCCAGACUCCUACGGGAGGCAGCAGUGGGGGAAUUUUUGGGACAAUGGGCGCAAGCCUGAUCCAGCAAUGCCGCGUGCAGGAUGAAGGCCUUCGGUUGGUUAAC
RNAcentral lists this ribosomal RNA (403 nucleotides) under uncultured bacterium. RNAcentral's name for it is "bacterial SSU rRNA". It matches the Rfam family "Bacterial small subunit ribosomal RNA", at positions 30 to 430 of the family's 1533-position model. The record is from RNAcentral.